RNAcentral lists this ribosomal RNA (253 nucleotides) under uncultured bacterium. Its description in RNAcentral is "partial 16S ribosomal RNA". It matches the Rfam family "Bacterial small subunit ribosomal RNA", at positions 524 to 776 of the family's 1533-position model. The record is from RNAcentral.
UACGGAGGGUGCGAGCGUUGUCCGGAAUUAUUGGGCGUAAAGCGCGCGCAGGCGGUCCUUUAAGUCUGAUGUGAAAGCCCACGGCUCAACCGUGGAGGGUCAUUGGAAACUGGGGGACUUGAGUGCAGGAGAGAAGAGUGGAAUUCCACGUGUAGCGGUGAAAUGCGUAGAGAUGUGGAGGAACACCAGUGGCGAAGGCGACUCUUUGGCCUGCAACUGACGCUGAGGCGCGAAAGCGUGGGGAGCAAACAGG